This 401-nucleotide unclassified non-coding RNA is filed under the name soil metagenome. RNAcentral's name for it is "partial contains 5.8S ribosomal RNA, internal transcribed spacer 2, and large subunit ribosomal RNA". The stretch from base 1 to 121 matches the Rfam family "5.8S ribosomal RNA", at positions 35 to 154 of the family's 154-position model. The record is from RNAcentral.
GAUGAAGAACGUAGCGAAAUGCGAUAAGUAAUGUGAAUUGCAGAAUUCAGUGAAUCAUCGAAUCUUUGAACGCACCUUGCGCCCUUUGGCUAUUCUGAAGGGCAUGCCUGUUUGAGUAUCGUGAACACCUCAACUCUCAUGGUCUGCCAUGAUGAGCUUGGACUUUGGGGGUCUUGCUGGCCUACUGUCAGCUCCUCUCAAAUGAAUCAGCUUACCAGUGUUUGGUGGCACCACAGGUGUGAUAACUAUCUACGCUUGUGGUUUUCUGCCAGGUAACCUCCAGUGAUGGAGGUUCGCUGGAGCUCACAAAUGUCUCUCCUCAGCGAGGACAGCUUUUUGAACGUUUGAUCUCAAAUCAGGUAGGACUACCCGCUGAACUUAAGCAUAUCAAUAAGCGGAGA